RNAcentral lists this unclassified non-coding RNA (269 nucleotides) under plant metagenome. RNAcentral describes it as "partial contains small subunit ribosomal RNA, internal transcribed spacer 1, and 5.8S ribosomal RNA". The record is from RNAcentral.
UUUCCGUAGGUGAACCUGCGGAAGGAUCAUUAAUGAGUCGUCAUGGGGUUCGAUGCUGGCAGCCAAUUUUUGGAUGCAUGUGCUUGCCCUAACAAUCAUCUUCCAAACACCUGUGCACAUUUUUGAGGGAGUCUUGAGUUGGUUGCCGCUCUUGGGUGAUUUUCUCACAUUCCCUUAAAUCAUUAUACGCUAUUAACAAUGUUGAACGUGCUCUGUGCCGCAAGGCUAUUAAUAUAAUACAACUUUUAACAACGGAUCUCUUGGCUCUC